This is a non-coding RNA of Cinara cedri, 212 nucleotides long. NCBI's taxonomy places the organism in Eukaryota, Metazoa, Arthropoda, Insecta, Hemiptera, Aphididae. The record is from the annotation of a GenBank genome assembly.
AUGACUCAUAGUUCGAUCGUCUUAUCGAAUAAAAACAAUAAUUUCCAAUUUUUUCACCGAAAGCUUCAAACACGACUAUUAAUGACGUUAUAAGUUAUUUAAUAAGGUAAUCUAACACUUUCGUACCAUAAAUUGAAUAGGAAAAAAAAUAAUUGCGUAAAAAUAUAUGCUCACGAGAUGAAUAUGUCGUGUAGAGUAUACGGAGAAACACG